Molecule: long non-coding RNA, 1162 nt
Filed under: Heterocephalus glaber (naked mole-rat)
Lineage: Eukaryota; Metazoa; Chordata; Mammalia; Rodentia; Bathyergidae
Description: lncRNA (ENSHGLG00000034443.1)
Source: RNAcentral
AUUAUUCUCUGCCCCACCUUAGAAGUAUUAAGUGAAAGCCAUCAGGCAAAGGUUAUAAUUAGAGAUUGAAAAAUGCUGACCAGGGAGCUCAGGGGGCCUUUCCCAACACUCCCAGGAGCUUGCUGCAUUUCACAAGGCUGUGCGAAGAGCAGAAAGCCGAGGAGACUGGCAAGUCUCUAAGAAAUUCAAGCCGUGAACUGCCAGGCAUAUGUGACCGCAGCUCUUCCACGUGGCUGGCUGGGAGAGGCCACCUUCAUUUGGUAUCUACUCAGCAGAGCAAAUGUCCUAAAGAACAAGAAGUCCAAGAUCAAGGCCAGCAGGCAAGUCUGGGGCAGGGCGGCUCCUCCUGGAAGGCAGAAGGGGGGGGGGACUCCUCACACAGCGGGGGGCAGAAGGGCACAAAUCCCAUUCAUGAAGGCAGAGUCCUCAUCACUCAGCUGGAUCACCACCUCUUGAUGCUGCUGCACUAGGAGCACAGUUGUGCAGUUUCGGUGUGAAUUUUGAAGGAGGCACAAAGAUUGAAACCAUAGCAACAGUUUCAUUUACAGCACCGUGCAAGACAGAUGCCACGUGAUCUUGCGUGUUUCUUUAGCCCUGAAAACUUGGCACUCUCCUUCAGCAUAAAUCCUCACCAACCUUCUUGAAAUGAAGGAUCGAAAUCAAGCAAGGACUAGGAGAACCAACCUUCAGAUGAGGAAACUGAGGGAGAGAAGCAUGGAAGCAGUGAGUGGUGAGCCCCGAAUAUGAACCCAGGCGGCCUGGCUCCUGAGCCUGAGCUCUGGGCAGCUUAUCAAGGGGACUUGGCAUCAUAGUUAACCACAGUUACUCAAAUCUCAGGCCAGCACAGUCUCAGAUUCCAUCCCCUUCCAAGAGUAAGACACCUUGAAAUCCACAUUUUUUUCCUGUGAUACAAAGGGUUUUUCUGUGUCUCCUUGCAUCUAGCGGAAAGAGAACACUUUCCCUUUUAGCUGUAGACUCUCAAUUUCUGCAGUCCCUGCCAUUUGUCCUUUCUAUGACAGCUCUGCUCCCGUCCCUGAGAGCAGCUUCCUGGCACCCGCCCCAGAGCUUUCCAACAACCCCUAUUGGGCAAAACUCAUCACCCCACUCUCCUAACUGUACAGUUUGAUCAAAUGAUCAGUUUGGUGCCAAGCCUGCUGUUGAC